AACAGGCCCCACAUCCUGUGUGGGGUUUUGAAGGGUUUAACUGCACUUGCUUUGGGUUUUCUGGUUCACCCCUUUCCUUUGUCGACAUUUGGGAUCAGCGAGUUCAUCCCAAGGCUCCCUUUUCUCCCAUCNNNNNNNNNNCCCAUCCUUUAUGAACAUUUGGGAUCAGCGAGUUCAUCCUGAGGCUCCCUUUUCUCCAAUCCUUUAUGAACAUUUGGGAUCAGUGAAUUCAUCCUGAGGCUCCCUUUUCCCCCCAUCCUUUAUGAACAUUUGGGAUCAGCGAGUUCAUCCUGAGGCUCCCUUUCCCCCCAUCCUUUAUGAACAUUUGGGAUCAGCGAGUUCAUCCCAAGGCUCCCUUUUCNNNNNNNNNNGGCAGGGCGGGGUGGCCGUGCCAGGCAGCCCCUGGAGCGCCAUUCCCAGCGGGAAUGCCGGGGAAUAGGGGGGAGGAGAGCCUGGAGGCGCCGGGAGGGGAUGAAUUGGGUGGGCAGCGGGUUUGGGGUGCCGGGAGGUGACAGACGGACAAACGGACAUGCCGGGAGGUGACAGCGGCCCCGGCGUGGCAGCAAAGCGGAUCCCGCAGCUCGUGGAGCUGGGGCGGCCCUCGGGCAGGAUGUUUCCCUCGCCGGGCUGCAGGAGGGGCUUUUCCAGGGAGCCCGCCCCGUGGUGGGAUGGGCCGCGGCCGUGUCCUCCUGCUGGCCCCGAGGACGCCUGGAACGAGCCACCCUGGGAAGAGCCACCCUGGGAAGGGCCACCUCGGAAUGGGCCACCUCGGAAUGGGCCACCUCGGAAUGGGCCACCCUGGGACGGGCCACCCAGGGAUGGGCCACCUCAGAAUGGGCCACCCUGGGACGGGCCACCCUGGAAUGGGCCAUCCUGGGACGGGCCACCCAGGGAUGGGCCAUCCUGGGACGGGCCACCCUGGAAUGGGCCACCCAGGGAUGGGCCACCCAGGGAUGGGCCACCCUGGGAUGGGCCACCUCGGAAUGGGCCACCCUGGGAGCACCAGCACAGGAGCCACCGGCACAGGAGGAGCCCGCCCUGUCCCAGAGCCCCCAGACCCUUCCCUGGCCCUGGCGACGUCCCGUGGAAGGAGGAGGAGGGGGACAGGAGGUGGGCACCCCACGACUGCCCCCCGCCACCCCCUUGGGAUGGCAGAGAAGCCGUCCCACGACCUGAGGACGGCUUUGGAGAAAUCUGGUACCAGGAUGUGCUGCCGGACCCCUGGCCCGAAUUCCCCGAGGAGGAGCAGCCCCCGCCCGGCCCUCCAGGGAAUCCAGGGACUUUCGGGGACCACCGCCCGCCCUGGAGGCAUCGCCCGGCCGGGAGGCGACCCAGCCACCUCCAGCAGCCGGUCCUGGUCCCCCGGGCGUGGUGUCCCCGGCCGCCCCGAGGGCACAAGGCUCGCUCCAAGCCCUCCUCCCCUGCCCACUUCAAGCGGAGCCAGCCGGCGGCCAGGAAGGAGCUGCAGCCCCCGGAGCCUCCCCAGCCUCCUGCUCCUCUCCCAGACGCUGGGGAAAGGCCGGAGCAGCCGCAGGUGUGGGGUUUUACCUGUCCCCUGCCCGUCCCACAGCAGGAGUGGGCUCCCCCUCAGCCUUGUCCUGGUUUCCUCCAGGAUGUGCCAGCAGCGGCUGGGAAUGUCCUGGAGCCCCCCAGUCCUGCCAGGAGCCCUCAGGAGAGCCCCGGGUCACCGGUAGGAGAUUCCCUGGUCCCAGGGGUGCUCCCAGCUCUGGAGCUGCCUGGCUCAGGGGCGUCCUUGGCUGCUGUGACAUCUCCCUCCUCUCUCAUCCAGCCUUUCCCCUCUCCACCUCGCUGUCUCUUUGCCAGGCAUGGAACUUUUCCAGGCUGUUCUCUCCAUGGUUUCCUGUGGGUUUUAGCACCCUGACCGUCCCAUCCCGGGACAGACACGUGUCCUCACGCCAUUGCCUGUCCCCAGGUGGAGCUGGAAGCUGGGCAGACCCCUGUGGGCAGCCAGGAUCAGGAUCCCUGCGCUGCAGGAGCAGAUCCAGCCCCUCCAGAGGAGAUCUCCGGCUAUGCUGAGAUCCAGGAGCACCUCGAGGUAUGGCACUGCUGGGAAGUGGCACAGGAGCAGCUCCAGGCUCCCCAAAAUCCUCCCCCUGGAGGUGUUUUCCUAAAUCAGAGCCUGCAGGGAAGCACAGUCCCCUUCCCAAACCCUCUGUCCCCUCACCGUGGACUCCACAAAGCCCCUGCAACGUUUGCACAGUGCGAGGAACCAAG
Molecule: long non-coding RNA, 2235 nt
Organism: Chloebia gouldiae (Gouldian finch)
Lineage: Eukaryota; Metazoa; Chordata; Aves; Passeriformes; Passeridae
Source: Ensembl